Molecule: transfer RNA, 73 nt
Filed under: bacterium
Lineage: Bacteria
Also listed under: 1 other name
Description: tRNA-Met
Rfam family: tRNA
About the family: Transfer RNA (tRNA) molecules are approximately 80 nucleotides in length. Their secondary structure includes four short double-helical elements and three loops (D, anti-codon, and T loops).
Source: RNAcentral
GGCUGCAUAGCUCAGUGGUUAGAGCGAAGCACUCAUAACGCUUAGGUCGGUGGUUCGAUUCCACCUGCAGCCA